CUUUUGAAUAUAAUUUAAGGUCUAGCCUGCCCAAUGAUGAAAAUUAAAUGGCCGCGGUAGCCUGACCGUGCAAAGGUAGCAUAAUCAUUAGUUUUUUAAUUGAAAGCUGGAAUGAAAGGUUGGAUGAGAAAAUUACUGUCUCUAUUUAAAUUAAUUAGAAAUUUAUUUUUAAGUAAAAAAGCUUAAAUAAAUCUAGAAGACGAGAAGACCCUAUAGAGUUUUAUAAAUUUAUAAUAUAUAAAUUUUAAGUAUUAAAAAUUUAUAAUUAAAAAUUUAUUUGGUUGGGGUGAUUGAGAAAUUAAAUUAACUUUCUUUAGCUAAAAACAUUAAUUAAUGGAUUUAUGAUCCUUAUUUAAAGAUUACAAGAAAAAAUUACCUUAGGGAUAACAGCGUAAUUUUUUUUGAGAGUUCUAAUCGAAAAAAAAGAUUGCGSSCUCGAUGUUGGAUUAAAAUUAAUUUUUGGUGUAGGAGCUAAA
RNAcentral lists this ribosomal RNA (476 nucleotides) under Phacecorynes variegatus. Its description in RNAcentral is "partial 16S ribosomal RNA". It matches the Rfam family "Archaeal large subunit ribosomal RNA", at positions 1915 to 2637 of the family's 2987-position model. The record is from RNAcentral. Lineage: Eukaryota; Metazoa; Arthropoda; Insecta; Coleoptera; Curculionidae.